Molecule: ribosomal RNA, 253 nt
Filed under: uncultured bacterium
Lineage: Bacteria
Description: partial 16S ribosomal RNA
Rfam family: Bacterial small subunit ribosomal RNA
Source: RNAcentral
AACGUAGGUGACGAGCGUUAUCCGGAUUUACUGGGCGUAAAGCGCGUUCAGGCGGUUUGGCAAGUCGGGCAUGAAAUCUCCUGGCUCAACCAGGAGAGGCUGUCCGAUACUUCCAGACUUGAGGGCAGUAGAGGGUGGUGGAAUUCCGGGUGUAGUGGUGAAAUGCGUAGAUAUCAGGAGGAACACCGGUGGCGAAAGCGGCUCACUGGACCGUAACUGACGCUGAGGUGCGAAAGCUAGGGGAGCAAACGGG